GGCAGAGACAGGGGAGAAUGAACCAAAAGCUCACGUUCUCCGUAUGUAUUAUGUGCAGGGUGCCCUUCUGAGAGACCAAGUCCUGCCCCCAACAAGCCUAUAACUUAGAUGAGAAAAUCGAUGUCCAGAGACUUUCCCAAGGACACAGAGCUAGCAAACACAGGCAGAAAAGUUAUCCUGGGGAUGGAAGAACUGAAGAAGCCCAGGAAAAGGACCUGGAUUCAGCUAAGUACUUUUCAUAAACAGAGAACGUGAGAAAAAACAAAGUAUGCCAAGUUUAGGCUACUGUCCCUAUGCAAAGGAAGUUAUCAUGAACCCCUAAGAGAACAAAACAAAGAAAGCCAGUCACCAUCCCCUAAGGCAAACACACUCCCCACUCAAGGCUCAAUGGAGACAACUGUCUCUAAACUAGAGAGAACCUCUCCGUCCUGAGGAGGGAGCAGUCUUGACUGAGGAAUAAUGGAAGGAGAUGAGACCCACUACCAGGGUGAUAUAAACCAUAAAUGAGUCCACCCAACAA
This is a long non-coding RNA of Leopardus geoffroyi (Geoffroy's cat), 520 nucleotides long. RefSeq lists it as uncharacterized. The record is from RefSeq and is a predicted model, not a curated record. The transcript has 4 exons. NCBI's taxonomy places the organism in Eukaryota, Metazoa, Chordata, Mammalia, Carnivora, Felidae.